Molecule: ribosomal RNA, 503 nt
Filed under: uncultured bacterium
Lineage: Bacteria
Description: partial 16S ribosomal RNA
Rfam family: Bacterial small subunit ribosomal RNA
Source: RNAcentral
GACGAACGCUGGCGGCGUGCUUAACACAUGCAAGUCGAACGGUGAAGCGCUUUCCUUUUUGGUUGGUGUGGAUGAGUGGCGAACGGGUGAGUAACACGUGAGUAACCUGCCCCCUUCUUCUGGAUAACCGCAUGAAGGUGUGGCUAAUACGGGAUAUUCUGCGCCUGCUGCAUGGUGGGUGUGGGAAAGAUUGUGCCUUUGGGUGUUUUCGGUGGGGGAUGGGCUCGCGGCCUAUCAGCUUGUUGGUGGGGUGAUGGCCUACCAAGGCGGUGACGGGUAGCCGGCCUGAGAGGGUGGACGGUCACACUGGGACUGAGACACGGCCCAGACUCCUACGGGAGGCAGCAGUGGGGAAUAUUGCACAAUGGGCGCAAGCCUGAUGCAGCGACGCCGCGUGAGGGAUGGAGGCCUUCGGGUUGUGAACCUCUUUCGCCAGUGAAGCAGGCCUGCUCCUUGUGGGUGGGUUGACGGUAGCUGGAGAAGAAGCGCCGGCUAACUACGUG